UAGAGGAGGCGCUAGAAAGUUUUCUACCGAUCCUAGAGACUUCUAGGAUCGGUAGAAAACUUUCUAGCGCAACCCUAAAAGUACU
Molecule: small RNA, 85 nt
Filed under: Salmonella enterica subsp. enterica serovar Typhimurium var. monophasic 4,5,12:i:-
Lineage: Bacteria; Pseudomonadati; Pseudomonadota; Gammaproteobacteria; Enterobacterales; Enterobacteriaceae
Description: msd sRNA
Source: RNAcentral